GUGGCCGUAGCUCAGUUGGUAGAGCCCCGGAUUGUGAUUCCGGUUGUCGUGGGUUCGAGCCCCAUCGGUCACC
Molecule: transfer RNA, 73 nt
Filed under: Aquicella lusitana
Lineage: Bacteria; Pseudomonadati; Pseudomonadota; Gammaproteobacteria; Legionellales; Coxiellaceae
Also listed under: 1 other name
Rfam family: tRNA
About the family: Transfer RNA (tRNA) molecules are approximately 80 nucleotides in length. Their secondary structure includes four short double-helical elements and three loops (D, anti-codon, and T loops). Further hydrogen bonds mediate the characteristic L-shaped molecular structure. tRNAs have two regions of fundamental functional importance: the anti-codon, which is responsible for specific mRNA codon recognition, and the 3' end, to which the tRNAs corresponding amino acid is attached (by aminoacyl-tRNA synthetases). tRNAs cope with the degeneracy of the genetic code in two manners: having more than one tRNA (with a specific anti-codon) for a particular amino acid; and 'wobble' base-pairing, i.e. permitting non-standard base-pairing at the 3rd anti-codon position.
Source: Rfam by way of RNAcentral